CAAAUCCCCAGGAAAACUCUCCCUGUAGAAGAGGCAGGAGGCAGCUGAAACAGCUCAGUAACCUCCAGGAUGUGUUAAGGCAAAACACUGCUGUAGAAAGGACGGGAGGAAACUGCUGGUGCAAUAGGACGUUAGUGGCUUGUUUGGUUAAAAGACUAGAGAGGAAUGGAAAUACUCAAGCUCAAUGGUGCGCAUUCGGCACCAGCCAAAGGUGCCCUGGCAGAGGGGCUGUCCUUGGCUGACCUCUGCAUGUAGGGCAGUGGGUUGCCCUCCUGCAGGCCGAGCAGGUGGCUUGGCUCCUCCGGACCUUUGUCAUAUCAAAGGCCACCGAAAGGCCACCCUGGCCUGUGUGUUCCAUUAAAUCCAGUUUUCCGGAAAAGCAGGUAAUACCAAUUUGAAGUCAUCAAAUGACAAGGACCUGUAGGUUUUUACUUCUGAUUUUGUUUGUAUGAGCUUUUUCUUUUCUUUGCCUACAUCAGUUGCUUAAAAUAUAUAUCAUCUUUCUGACUUGCCUUUGUCGAGGUGUAGCUUCCAGCUCUUUAUUCUUGUGAGGCCUUUCUCUAGGAAUCUGGAGGGCCUUUUGAUGGGCUGAAACAUCUGUCCUUUGAAAACAGCAAGAAAACUGAUCCAUUCUCAGUCUUCUUUCUGAAGACAGAGUGAACUCCCACAUUUACUCUGAAGAUAAUCCUGAGCUGCUGUGAAAGCAGAACAAUGAUUAGAUAUGUUACUUAUAUUUGACUCAUAUCACAUCAUAAUUUACACAGUUGCAUGAUUCAAAUCAUUAACCAGGUGGGUGACUUUUUUGACAAGUUAUCAAUCCAUAUGGUAAAAAAAAAAAUGUUACAAAUAAUCCACUGCUUAUGUCCUUUAUAAAACUUGU
Molecule: long non-coding RNA, 880 nt
Organism: Nothoprocta perdicaria
Lineage: Eukaryota; Metazoa; Chordata; Aves; Tinamiformes; Tinamidae
Exons: 2
Source: RefSeq, a predicted model, not a curated record